CCUACGGGAGGCAGCAGUAGGGAAUCUUCCACAAUGGGCGAAAGCCUGAUGGAGCAACGCCGCGUGGGUGAAGAAGGUCUUCGGAUCGUAAAACCCUGUUGUUAGAGAAGAAAGUGCGUGAGAGUAACUGUUCACGUCUCGACGGUAUCUAACCAGAAAGCCACGGCUAACUACGUGCCAGAAGCCGCGGGAAUAUGUAGGUGGCAAGCGUUAUCCGGAUUUAUUGGGCGUAAAGGGAAUGCAGGCGGUCUUUUAAGCCUGAUGUGAAAGCCUUCGGCUUAACCGGAGUAGUGCAUUGGAAACUGGGAGACUUGAGUGCAGAAGAGGAGAGUGGAACUCCAUGUGUAGCGGUGAAAUGCGUAGAUAUUAGGAAGAACACCAGUGGCGAAAGCGGCUCUCUGGUCUGUAACUGACGCUGAGGUUCGAAAGCGUGGGUAGCAAACAGGAUUAGAUACCCGUGUAGUC
This 465-nucleotide ribosomal RNA is filed under the name uncultured bacterium. RNAcentral describes it as "partial 16S ribosomal RNA". It matches the Rfam family "Bacterial small subunit ribosomal RNA", at positions 338 to 795 of the family's 1533-position model. The record is from RNAcentral.